This 698-nucleotide ribosomal RNA is filed under the name uncultured Pezizales. Its description in RNAcentral is "eukaryotic LSU rRNA". The stretch from base 291 to 443 matches the Rfam family "5.8S ribosomal RNA". The record is from RNAcentral. Lineage: Eukaryota; Fungi; Ascomycota; Pezizomycetes; Pezizales.
CUUGGUCAUUUAGAGGAAGUAAAAGUCGUAACAAGGUUUCCGUAGGUGAACCUGCGGAAGGAUCAUUAUUGAAUACUAUUAUUUUUUAGUUUUCAACUAUUAAACCCCUUUGUCUACUUAUACCAUGUUGCUUCCACUGGACAGGUUGAUUAUGUUAUUUUACAUGUGUUACCCUUUAGCUUGAUCCUUUUUUUUGGUACAAGUUGAAGAGUUGCCAGUGGAUGAAAAUUAAACUAAAAACUUUUGAAUAAAACUCUGUCUUAACUCUUUUUUAUUGAAAAAUAAAAUAAAACUUUCAACAACGGAUCUCUAGGCUCUUGCAUCGAUGAAGAACGCAGUAAAAUGCGAUAAGUAAUGUGAAUUGCAGAUCUCGUGAAUCAUCGAAUCUUUGAACGCACAUUGCGCCCUAUAGCAUUCUGUAGGGCAUGCCUGUCUGAGUAUCAUUAUACCCACUCAGAUCUUGGAUUAUUUUAUAUAGUCUUAGAUUUGGAUUUAAUCAGAGAAGUAACCUAUUUGAGUAGAUUACUCUUUGGAAAUAUAAAGGCAGUUGUAGUGAAACCUAUAUUAAACGUGAUAUUAAAAAGUUUCGUUUAAAAGGACUGAAUCUUUGACUUGCCUUUAACCCACUUAAUUCUUUGGUUGACCUCAGAUCAGGUAGGGAUACCCGCUGAACUUAAGCAUAUCAAUAAAGCGGAGGA